CAAACCUUUAACAUUAGUCCUGUGAGGCUAAGAAGGGUCGGUGCAUUUUGCGAACAAAUUUGUUCACAACCCCUCUGUCCACAGGCGACGGAGGGGUUUUUGAUU
This is a regulatory RNA element of 105 nucleotides. It matches the Rfam family "PyrR binding site". Rfam says of the family: This family represents the PyrR binding site and terminator structure. This RNA structure is found upstream of a variety of genes involved in pyrimidine biosynthesis and transport. The record is from Rfam.